RNAcentral lists this unclassified non-coding RNA (355 nucleotides) under fungal sp. RNAcentral's name for it is "partial internal transcribed spacer region". The stretch from base 1 to 46 matches the Rfam family "Eukaryotic small subunit ribosomal RNA", at positions 1786 to 1831 of the family's 1831-position model. Lineage: Eukaryota; Fungi. The record is from RNAcentral.
AAGUCGUAACAAGGUUUCCGUAGGUGAACCUGCGGAAGGAUCAUUAACAAAACGUUUUUCCAAACGUUUUUUUAUUCUUCUUUCACACUCUGUGCUGUCCCUUCUCCCUAUCAUUCUCUUAGAGAAUAAUAGGUUGAAUCUAAUCUCUGGUUCUCAACUUGGUUGAAAUUGGUUUGGUUUUUCCAACCAUCUCUUCUCAGUUGGAACUGCCAGAGAUUAACCCCAUUUUUUACACUUUUUUCACCUUCAAUACACAUUAACCAUUUCUGAUUCAACUUUGAUUGAAUCUGGUUUUAUUUUUUCUCAAAAAAAUAAAUCAAUAAUACAACUCUUAGCAAUGGAUAUCUAGGUUCUC